UCUUUAAAAUCACAAGCGCCCAAAUUGGUCCGUAAGCCUUUUUCUGUCUCAUUAUUAAACGAAGCCGUUUUAGCGUCUCAAGCUAGCUAGCUCUGACAUUCGAAAGCCUAGGCUCGAUUGGCCUUUUAUUCUCUCCGGACCAGCACACUGACACCGUUUAUCAGCGCCUCCGCCUCUGCCGCCGCUGUUUGCCCAUCUCAUCUGUUGCCUUGUCUACCACCACCCAUCGCUUUUCAGUGAGGAAAGCAGCAGAGUCGCCUAGCAUGGUGGCAAAAGUUCGCUAUCUGUGCUCUAGCGAGAAGAGAAUGUUUCCUCCAGCUUGAACUCAAUAAUGACCACUAAGAUCCUUCAAAGUAGAGCUACUCUUCAUUGUUUAAUUUCAUCCUCAAAAUCAAUCCUCACUCAUGCAGGUGCAAGACGUCAUUUCCUGUCCACAAAUCCAAAAUCCCCAAAUCAGUCCCUAUACAGAAAACAGAUUUCUCUUGCCAAUCUCUUCCAGAGGUAUGGUUUCCCGCCAUCCCAACUCCACGGUUUCAUCAGUUCAAAUCACUUUCUUUUAAAUUCCAAUUUGCCUGACAUUGAGAAGUCUCUGGGUAUUCUCUUAUCAUUCAAAAUCCCACAGCAAUUGAUUGUGUCUCUGAUUAUUGAAUGUCCUGGGGUUUUGGAAUUUGAUUUUUUGAAGAAAUGGGAAAGAGGGUUUUCAAAUUCUGGGGAUUUGAGCAUUUCUCCAUUGGUGAUAAAGGGUGUUUUGGCACAUUCUAAAAGACUCCAGAUUGAUCCAGAUUGGUUGUAUAAGAGUGUGAACGUUUUAAAGGGUUUGGGUCUUAGUGAAGGUACUAUAAGGAAGGUAUUAGAGGGUUUUCCUGGAGUGAUUACGUUGAAGAAAAGUGAGGUACAUAAGAGAAUUGAGUUCUUAUUGCAAAUUGGGAUUUAUAGAGAUGAAGUUGAUAGGAUUUUGAAUUCAUAUCCCGAGGCUUUAAGAUUUGGGGUUGAAAAUAGGCUGAUGCCAUUGGUUGAUGAGUUUGAGGAUUUGGGUUUUAGCAAAGAUUAUAUCACAAAAGAGAUUAUGAAGGAGCCACAGAUUCUUGGUAUGGAAUUAGGUGAACUUGCAAGGUGUCUCGAAUUGCUUCGUUCUUUGAAAUGUCGGGAAGCAAUUAAAUUAAGGAUUUUUAAGGAUGGAGCAUUUAGAUCUGGAUUUGAAGUAAAACUUAGAGUUGAUUGCUUGUGCAAACAUGGUUUGAUUCGUAGAGAAGCAUUUAAGGUUUUGUGGAAAGAACCAAGGGUGAUUAUUUAUGAUUUAGAGGACAUUGAGAAGAAGAUUGAAUUUUUGGUUAACACAAUGAGAUAUAAUGUUGGCUGCUUGGUUGAAGUUCCGGAGUAUUUGGGUGUGAAUUUUGAGAAACAGAUUCUUCCUCGCUACAAUGUGAUUGAGUAUUUGCGUGCAAAAGGUGGGCUUGGUGAUGAAGUGGGACUGAAAGGUAUGAUAAAGUUGAGUAGGCUUAGAUUCUAUAAUCUAUAUGUGAAGCCAUAUCCUGAGUGUGAAAAAAUGUUUGGGAGGUUUUCAGGUGAUGUUCAGGUUAAAAGACAACGUCCAGUUGGCCUAUGGAAGCUAUUUAAACCACAAAUGCACCCAGAUUCAAAAGAAGAAUUGAAACAUAUAAAGUCUUUUAUGGAAGGCCUUGUUUAGUUGAAAUGAGUGCUUCUAAUGGUUCUUCAUCAUUGCAAUUGGAAUGAUCCUGCAUUGGCUUGUUCCUCUUCUAAUAUUUGGGAAUGGAACAAUUGUUAACUGCUGAUGUUCAUCUACUUCAUAUUAAAGAAUUGCCAUGCUAUUGCAACGUACUUGUCAAAAUAUAUUGGACUGGGUUGGCACUUGAUUUGAUAAUGCCAGCAACAGACAAGGAAUUUCAAUCUAUUGGUUGGAGUAUUUUUUUUCUGAGAUGUUGGUAGUUGUCCAAGUGUCAAUAGAAUUUUCCUCGGAGGUGAAGCCCACCGGCUGAAAUAUUCUUCAUGUAUUAAGCUACAUAAAACCGUAGAGUGCAAGUUUACACUGAGUUCUUUCAUGGUGAGGCAUCGAUGGAAGGUGAGCCAAGCCAAACUGGAGUUGCUUUUCUUGUUGAGUUGAAAUUUCACUGACACAGAGACCCUAGAGGAGUAGGCGACAGAGUAAAACUUCCUUGCAGACACAUGCAUUCAUUAGCCGAUGCCUCUGUGCAGCUAAUUUGUGCAUUUUUAUUUUUCUUAUUUGGAAUUUUUUGUUUUAAGGACAGUCAAAACCAGCAAAACCAGUGCAGGACAGUCAAAUUAAACAAGAAUGAAAACAUGGAACAGAGAAUGAUAAUAAGUAGAUUGAAAUUAACGAUAAUUAUGAAUGAAAUUAAUCCUAAUUUAGGGUUUCUAAAAUU
This is an RNA transcript of Jatropha curcas, 2402 nucleotides long. It is a transcript of the gene named Mitochondrial transcription termination factor family protein, with no coding region annotated. Lineage: Eukaryota; Viridiplantae; Streptophyta; Magnoliopsida; Malpighiales; Euphorbiaceae. The record is from RefSeq and is a predicted model, not a curated record.